GGUUCCGCAUGGAAGGGCCAUCGCUCAACGGAUAAAAGCUACCCCGGGGAUAACAGGCUUAUCUCCCCCAAGAGUCCACAUCGACGGGGAGGUUUGGCACCUCGAUGUCGGCUCAUCGCAUCCUGGGGCUGUAGUCGGUCCCAAGGGUUGGGCUGUUCGCCCAUUAAAGCGGUACGCGAGCUGGGUUCAGAACGUCGUGAGACAGUUCGGUCCCUAUCCGUCGUGGGCGUAGGAAAUUUGAGAGGAGCUGUCCUUAGUACGAGAGGACCGGGAUGGACACACCGCUGGUGUACCAGUUGUCUUGCCAAAGGCAUCGCUGGGUAGCUAUGUGUGGACGGGAUAAGUGCUGAAAGCAUCUAAGCAUGAAGCCCCCCUCAAGAUGAGAUUUCCCAUUACGCAAGUAAGUAAGAUCCCUCAAAGACGAUGAGGUAGAUAGGUUCGAGG
Molecule: ribosomal RNA, 444 nt
Filed under: Lysinibacillus sphaericus
Lineage: Bacteria; Bacillati; Bacillota; Bacilli; Caryophanales; Bacillaceae
Description: bacterial LSU rRNA
Rfam family: Bacterial large subunit ribosomal RNA
Source: RNAcentral